RNAcentral lists this ribosomal RNA (442 nucleotides) under uncultured bacterium. RNAcentral's name for it is "partial 16S ribosomal RNA". It matches the Rfam family "Bacterial small subunit ribosomal RNA", at positions 338 to 795 of the family's 1533-position model. The record is from RNAcentral.
CCUACGGGUGGCAGCAGUGGGGAAUAUUGGGCAAUGGGCGAAAGCCUGACCCAGCAACGCCGCGUGAAGGAAGAAGGCUUUCGGGUUGUAAACUUCUUUUGACAGGGAAGAGCAGACGACGUUACCUGUCGAAUAAGCCACGGCUCACUACGUGCCAGCAGCCGCGGUCAUACGUAGGUGGCAAGCGUUGUCCGGAAUUACUGGGUGUAAAGGGCGUUUAGCCGGGCUGACAAGUCAGAUGUGAAAUCCGUGGGCUCAAACCCCGAACGGCAUUUGAAACUGUUGGCCUUGAGUAUCCGAGAGGAAGGCGGAAUGCGUGGUGUAGCGGUGAAAUGCAUAGAUAGCACGCAGAACUCCGAUUGCGAAGGCAGCAUUCCGGCGCCCGACUGACGCUGAGGCACGAAAGCGUGGGGAUCGAACAGGAUUAGAUACCCUUGUAGUC